UAUUAUUUUAGAAUGUUAAUUGUUUUGCCUGAGUAGUAUUAGUUAUGUUCUUGAAACUUAAAGAAUUUGGCGGUAUCUCAUUCCGUCCAGAGGAAUCUGUCUCGUUAUCGAUAGUCCACGUUGGACCUUACUUGGUUGCUUAGGUUUGUAUACCGCCGUUUAUUGAUUAUCUUUUUAGAGUUUUUAAUUUUCUGGUUUCCUUAUUUUGGUUUAUUUCAGGUCAAGGUGCAGCUUGUUUCCAAGUGAAUGAUGGAUUACAUUGUAAUUUGUUUUUGGAUUGUUGCUUUAAUUUGGGCAUGAAAUUGGAUUUGGUUGUAAUGAUUUGUAGAUUGUUAUUAUGAUAAUUGGUUCUGGGAUAUGCACACAUCGCCCGUCGCUCUCGUGUAUAAAU
This 391-nucleotide ribosomal RNA is filed under the name Nasutitermes magnus. RNAcentral describes it as "partial 12S ribosomal RNA". The record is from RNAcentral. Lineage: Eukaryota; Metazoa; Arthropoda; Insecta; Blattodea; Termitidae.